AGUGAACGCUGGCGGUAGGCCUAACACAUGCAAGUCGAACGGCAGCACAGUAAGAGCUUGCUCUUACGGGUGGCGAGUGGCGGACGGGUGAGGAAUACAUCGGAAUCUACUUUUUCGUGGGGGAUAACGUGGGGAAACUUACGCUAAUACCGCAUACGACCUACGGGUGAAAGCAGGGGAUCUUCGGACCUUGCGCGAUUGAAUGAGCCGAUGUCGGAUUAGCUAGUUGGCGGGGUAAAGGCCCACCAAGGCGACGAUCCGUAGCUGGUCUGAGAGGAUGAUCAGCCACACUGGAACUGAGACACGGUCCAGACUCCUACGGGAGGCAGCAGUGGGGAAUAUUGGACAAUGGGCGCAAGCCUGAUCCAGCCAUACCGCGUGGGUGAAGAAGGCCUGCGGGUUGUAAAGCCCUUUUGUUGGGAAAGAAAAGCAGCAGGUUAAUACCCCGCUGUUCUGACGGUACCCAAAGAAUAAGCACCGGCUAACUUCGU
RNAcentral lists this ribosomal RNA (491 nucleotides) under uncultured bacterium. RNAcentral describes it as "partial 16S ribosomal RNA". It matches the Rfam family "Bacterial small subunit ribosomal RNA", at positions 29 to 506 of the family's 1533-position model. The record is from RNAcentral.